GAGGGUACAGCUCAGUGGUAGGGUGUGUGCUUAGCAUGCAUGAGGUCCUGGGUUCAAUCCACAGUAUUUUCA
RNAcentral lists this transfer RNA (72 nucleotides) under Camelus bactrianus (Bactrian camel). It matches the Rfam family "tRNA". Rfam says of the family: Transfer RNA (tRNA) molecules are approximately 80 nucleotides in length. RNAcentral also lists the same sequence under 2 other names. The record is from Rfam by way of RNAcentral. Lineage: Eukaryota; Metazoa; Chordata; Mammalia; Artiodactyla; Camelidae.